This 660-nucleotide ribosomal RNA is filed under the name uncultured bacterium. RNAcentral describes it as "bacterial SSU rRNA". It matches the Rfam family "Bacterial small subunit ribosomal RNA", at positions 123 to 780 of the family's 1533-position model. The record is from RNAcentral.
AACUUUCCCAAAACUGGUGAAUAGCCUUCCGAAAGGAAGAUUAAUACACCGUAAGAUAUAGGAGUGGCAUCACUUUUAUAUUAUAGCUCCGGCGGUUUUGGAUGGGCGUGCGGCUGAUUAGGUAGUUGGCGGGGUAACGGCCCACCAAGCCAACGAUCAGUAACUGGUGUGAGAGCACGAUCAGUCACACGGGCACUGAGACACGGGCCCGACUCCUACGGGAGGCAGCAGUAAGGAAUAUUGGUCAAUGGACGCAAGUCUGAACCAGCCAUGCCGCGUGAAGGAUGACGGCCCUCUGGGUUGUAAACUUCUUUUAUAGGGGACGAAAAAAGGGCUUUCUAGCUCGUCUGACGGUACCCUAGGAAUAAGCACCGGCUAACUCCGUGCCAGCAGCCGCGGUAAUACGGAGGGUGCAAGCGUUAUCCGGAUUUACUGGGUUUAAAGGGUGCGUAGGUGGGUCUGGUAAGUCAGUGGUGAAAUCUUCGAGCUUAACUCGGAAACUGCCAUUGAUACUACCGAUCUUGAAUCAUCUAGAGGUAAGCGGAAUAUGUCAUGUAGCGGUGAAAUGCUUAGAUAUGACAUAGAACACCAAUUGCGAAGGCAGCUUACUAUGGAUGUAUUGACACUGAGGCACGAAAGCGUGGGGAUCAAACAGGAUUA